UACGGAGGGAGCUAGCGUUAUUCGGAAUUACUGGGCGUAAGGCGCACGUAGGCGGCUUUGUAAGUUAGAGGUGAAAGCCUGGAGCUCAACUCCAGAACUGCCUUUAAGACUGCAUCGCUUGAAUCCAGGAGAGGUGAGUGGAAUUCCGAGUGUAGAGGUGAAAUGCGUAGAUAUUCGGAAGAACACCAGUGGCGAAGGCGGCUCACUGGACUGGUAUUGACGCUGAGGUGCGAAAGCGUGGGGAGCAAACAGG
RNAcentral lists this ribosomal RNA (253 nucleotides) under uncultured bacterium. RNAcentral describes it as "partial 16S ribosomal RNA". It matches the Rfam family "Bacterial small subunit ribosomal RNA", at positions 524 to 776 of the family's 1533-position model. The record is from RNAcentral.